GCCUGAUGCAGCGACGCCGCGUGCGGGAUGACGGCCUUACGGGUUGUAAACCGCUUUCAGCAGGGACGAAGCGGAAGUGACGGUACCUGCAGAAGAAGCCCCGGCCAACUACGUGCCAGCAGCCGCGGUAAUACGUAGGGGGCGAGCGUUGUCCGGAUUUAUUGGGCGUAAAGAGCUCGUAGGCGGCUGUUCGAGUCGGGUGUGAAACCCCAGGGCUUAACUCUGGGCCUGCAUUCGAUACUGGGCGGCUUGAGUCUGGUAGGGGGAUCUGGAAUUCCUGGUGUAGCGGUGGAAUGCGCAGAUAUCAGGAGGAACACCGGUGGCGAAGGCGGGAUCCUGGGCCAGUACUGACGCUGAGGAGCGAAAGCGUGGGGAGCAAACAGGAUUAGAUACCCUGGUAGUCCACGCUGUAAACGAUGGGUGCUAGGUGUGGGGGGUUAUCGACUCCCUCCGUGCCGCAGCUAACGCAUUAAGCACCCCGCCUGGGGAGUACGGCCGCAAGGCUA
RNAcentral lists this ribosomal RNA (506 nucleotides) under uncultured Actinomycetes bacterium. RNAcentral describes it as "bacterial SSU rRNA". It matches the Rfam family "Bacterial small subunit ribosomal RNA", at positions 381 to 896 of the family's 1533-position model. The record is from RNAcentral. Lineage: Bacteria; Bacillati; Actinomycetota; Actinomycetes.